CACAUGCAAGUCGAAGGGGCCACCAUGUCCAAGCAAUGGAUGAUGGCGACCGGCGGAAGGGUGCGUAACGCGUGAGCAACAUGCCCUAUACAGGGAGAUUACACCAGGGAAACUUGGUCUAAUAUCCCAUAGCAUUCAUUGAGGGCAUCUUUAAUGAAUUAAAGCUUCGGUGGUAUAGGAUUGGCUCGCGUGACAUUAGCCAGAUGGUGAGGUAACGGCUCACCAUAGCAAUGAUGUCUAGGGGUUUUGAGAGGAAGGCCCCCCACACUGGGACUGAGACACGGCCCAGACUCCUACGGGAGGCAGCAGUGAGGAAUAUUGGACAAUGGAUGGAAAUCUGAUCCAGCCAUGCCGCGUGCAGGAAGACGGCCUUAUGGGUUGUAAACUGCUUUUAUACGGGAGCAAUAAGGGUUACGAGUAAUCCGAUGAGAGUACUGUAUGAAUAAGGAUCGGCUAACUCCGUGCCAGCAGCCGCGGUAAUACGGAGGAUCCGAGCGUUAUCCGGAAUUAUUGGGUUUAAAGGGUGCGUAGGCGGCCAUUUAAGUCAGCGGUGAAAUUUUGCAGCUUAACUGUAACAGUGCCGUUGAUACUGUUUGGCUAGGAUUUGGUUGUAGUGUGCGGAAUGUGUGGUGUAGCGGUGAAAUGCUUAGAUAUCACACAGAACACCGAUUGCGAAGGCAGCACACUAAGUCAUUAUUGACGCUGAGGCACGAAAGUGUGGGGAUCAAACAGGAUUAGAUACCCUGGUAGUCCACACUGUAAACGAUGAUAACUCGCUGUCGGCGAUACACAGUCGGGGCCAAGCGAAAGC
RNAcentral lists this ribosomal RNA (811 nucleotides) under uncultured bacterium. Its description in RNAcentral is "bacterial SSU rRNA". It matches the Rfam family "Bacterial small subunit ribosomal RNA", at positions 52 to 858 of the family's 1533-position model. The record is from RNAcentral.